UAUAUGUAUAUAUAUGUAUAUAUAUAUAUAUUUGAAUUAAUCAACGGAGCCAGUUUAUUUCUUCCCAUACAAGAUGAUACCAGUGCACUCUUUAGUUGAGAUGUAUGUAUGUAUAUAUAUGUACAUAUAUAUAUAUCACACAUACAUGUGAACAUAUGUUUAU
Octopus sinensis (East Asian common octopus) is the source of this 163-nucleotide long non-coding RNA. RefSeq lists it as uncharacterized. Lineage: Eukaryota; Metazoa; Mollusca; Cephalopoda; Octopoda; Octopodidae. The record is from RefSeq and is a predicted model, not a curated record. The transcript is spliced from 3 exons.